Molecule: long non-coding RNA, 853 nt
Filed under: Anolis carolinensis (green anole)
Lineage: Eukaryota; Metazoa; Chordata; Lepidosauria; Squamata; Anolidae
Description: lncRNA (ENSACAG00000039695.1)
Source: RNAcentral
AUGUUGCCCAGGGGACGCCCGGAUGUUUUGAUGUUUUUACCAUCCUUGUGGGAGGCUUCUCUCAUGUCCCCGCAUGGACGUUGCCCAGGGGACGCCCGGAUGUUUUUGAUGUUUUUACCAUCCUUGUGGGAGGCUUCUCUCAUGUCCCCACAUGGAGCUGGAGCUGAUAGAGGGAGCCACUCUCCCCGGGUGGGAUUCGAACCUGGCAGCUUUCAGGUCAGCAACCCAACCUUCAAGUCACAAGGCUUUUAUCCCCUAGGCCACCGAGGGCUCCUAGAGUUAGCAUAAAAACCGUGUCUAAACUACUGUCCUUAAUGGGGAGUAAAGUGUUUCCAUUUGGGGAAGACUCCUAUAGGUCUAAGCUCAAAGGCAAUGCAGAUCUGUUUUGGCUAGGAUAGAAAGAAUAUUUAUCAUUAUUUAUUCCAAGGACAAAAAACCAUGUUUCCCAAAGUGCAUGAAACCCUGUCAGAAAGAAUAAGAGACUAGUGAGAAUUUGAUGCAAUUUUCUGCUAAUAUUAUAUGUCCUGAAGUAAUGUGUGUGGGCAAGUUAAAGUCACCUUGCUACUUAUGGCAACCCCAUGAGUGUCAUAAAGGUGUUUUUUUUUAAGGCAAGGAAUACUCAGAAGAGGUUUGCCAUUGACUUUCUAUACAGCCCCUGGUAAUAGUACUAGUAAUUGUUGUUGUUGCAGUUGUUUCUUACCUGCCUCUCCCUGUAGUAUUCUUUGGUGGUCCCUCAUCCAAGUACUGACCCUGUUUAGCUUCCAAGCUCAGAUGAGAUCUGGUGCCUUUAAGAUAUUUAGGCCUUUCCUGAAGUGUUGCUUUGGAAUUAUACUAUGGAGAAAAUACAUUGGAU